Molecule: small RNA, 92 nt
Filed under: Chryseobacterium taihuense
Lineage: Bacteria; Pseudomonadati; Bacteroidota; Flavobacteriia; Flavobacteriales; Weeksellaceae
Description: Flavo-1 RNA
Rfam family: Flavo-1 RNA
Source: RNAcentral
AAAUAGCCCCGAUUGGAGCGGCAUCCUUUUUUGAGCGGACGGAGCAAAGCGGAGUCCGUUCAAAAAAGAUACAGCGGAAAGCGGGAAAAAGC